GAAUUAGAGGUUUCUUCCACAUCUUGACCAGACUCUUGAAGACUUGUCAUGGGACCUGGAGGACCCGGUGGACCAGGAGGGCCCGGACCUGGAUGGGGACCAGGACCAGGAGGACCCGGACCUGGAUGGGGACCAGGAUUUGGAGGAUCAGGGAUCUUUCCACCAAUUGGUGGGUUCUUUGCUGGAUUUUCAGACAUGAUAUGUUCCUGGUAAAGACAUUAUAUCUGGUUCAUUGUUAUUUGUAUUUGUAUGAGAGUUAAAAGGGGUUG
Molecule: long non-coding RNA, 269 nt
Filed under: Brassica napus (rape)
Lineage: Eukaryota; Viridiplantae; Streptophyta; Magnoliopsida; Brassicales; Brassicaceae
Description: long non-coding RNA (BNAP_LNC016687)
Source: RNAcentral